GAUGAACGCUGGCGGCGUGCCUAAUACAUGCAAGUCGAGCGAACGGACGAGAAGCUUGCUUCUCUGAUGUUAGCGGCGGACGGGUGAGUAACACGUGGAUAACCUACCUAUAAGACUGGGAUAACUUCGGGAAACCGGAGCUAAUACCGGAUAAUAUUUUGAACCGCAUGGUUCAAAAGUGAGAGACGGUCUUGCUGUCACUUAUAGAUGGAUCCGCGCUGCAUUAGCUAGUUGGUAAGGUAACGGCUUACCAAGGCAACGAUGCAUAGCCGACCUGAGAGGGUGAUCGGCCACACUGGAACUGAGACACGGUCCAGACUCCUACGGGAGGCAGCAGUAGGGAAUCUUCCGCAAUGGGCGAAAGCCUGACGGAGCAACGCCGCGUGAGUGAUGAAGGUCUUCGGAUCGUAAAACUCUGUUAUUAGGGAAGAACAUAUGUGUAAGUAACUGUGCACAUCUUGACGGUACCUAAUCAGAAAGCCACGGCUAACUACGUGCCAGCAGCCGCGGUAAUACGUAGGUGGCAAGCGUUAUCCGGAAUUAUUGGGCGUAAAGCGCGCGUAGGCGGUUUUUUAGUCUGAUGUGAAAGCCCACGGCUCACCCGUGGAGGGUCAUUGGAAACUGGAAAACUUGAGUGCAGAAGAGGAAAGUGGAAUUCCAUGUGUAGCGGUGAAAUGCGCAGAGAUAUGGAGGAACACCAGUGGCGAAGGCGACUUUCUGGUCUGUAACUGACGCUGAUGUGCGAAAGCGUGGGGAUCAAACAGGAUUAGAUACCCUGGUAGUCCACGCCGUAAACGAUGAGUGCUAAGUGUUAGGGGGUUUCCGCCCCUUAGUGCUGCAGCUAACGCAUUAAGCACUCCGCCUGGGGAGUACGACCGCAAGGUUGAAACUCAAAGGAAUUGACGGGGACCCGCACAAGCGGUGGAGCAUGUGGUUUAAUUCGAAGCAACGCGAAGAACCUUACCAAAUCUUGACAUCCUUUGACAACUCUAGAGAUAGAGCUUUCCCCUUCGGGGGACAAAGUGACAGGUGGUGCAUGGUUGUCGUCAGCUCGUGUCGUGAGAUGUUGGGUUAAGUCCCGCAACGAGCGCAACCCUUAAGCUUAGUUGCCAUCAUUAAGUUGGGCACUCUAAGUUGACUGCCGGUGACAAACCGGAGGAAGGUGGGGAUGACGUCAAAUCAUCAUGCCCCUUAUGAUUUGGGCUACACACGUGCUACAAUGGACAAUACAAAGGGCAGCGAAACCGCGAGGUCAAGCAAAUCCCAUAAAGUUGUUCUCAGUUCGGAUUGUAGUCUGCAACUCGACUACAUGAAGCUGGAAUCGCUAGUAAUCGUAGAUCAGCAUGCUACGGUGAAUACGUUCCCGGGUCU
Molecule: ribosomal RNA, 1371 nt
Filed under: uncultured bacterium
Lineage: Bacteria
Description: bacterial SSU rRNA
Rfam family: Bacterial small subunit ribosomal RNA
Source: RNAcentral